AGACCCGAAACCCGGUGAUCUAGCCAUGGGCAGGUUGAAGGUUGGGUAACACUAACUGGAGGACCGAACCGACUAAUGUUGAAAAAUUAGCGGAUGACUUGUGGCUGGGGGUGAAAGGCCAAUCAAACCGGGAGAUAGCUGGUUCUCCCCGAAAGCUAUUUAGGUAGCGCCUCGUGAAUUCAUCUCCGGGGGUAGAGCACUGUUUCGGCAAGGGGGUCAUCCCGACUUACCAACCCGAUGCAAACUGCGAAUACCGGAGAAUGUUAUCACGGGAGACACACGGCGGGUGCUAACGUCCGUCGUGAAGAGGGAAACAACCCAGACCGCCAGCUAAGGUCCCAAAGUCAUGGUUAAGUGGGAAACGAUGUGGGAAGGCCCAGACAGCCAGGAUGUUGGCUUAGAAGCAGCCAUCAUUUAAAGAAAGCGUAAUAGCUCACUGGUCGAGUCGGCCUGCGCGGAAGAUGUAACGGGGCUAAACCAUGCACCGAAGCUGCGGCAGCGACACUGUGUGUUGUUGGGUAGGGGAGCGUUCUGUAAGCCUGUGAAGGUGUGCUGUGAGGCAUGCUGGAGGUAUCAGAAGUGCGAAUGCUGACAUAAGUAACGAUAAAGCGGGUGAAAAGCCCGCUCGCCGGAAGACCAAGGGUUCCUGUCCAACGUUAAUCGGGGCAGGGUGAGUCGACCCCUAAGGCGAGGCCGAAAGGCGUAGUCGAUGGGAAACAGGUUAAUAUUCCUGUACUUGGUGUUACUGCGAAGGGGGGACGGAGAAGGCUAUGUUGGCCGGGCGACGGUUGUCCCGGUUUAAGCGUGUAGGCUGGUUUUCCAGGCAAAUCCGGAAAAUCAAGGCUGAGGCGUGAUGACGAGGCACUACGGUGCUGAAGCAACAAAUGCCCUGCUUCCAGGAAAAGCCUCUAAGCAUCAGGUAACAUCAAAUCGUACCCCAAACCGACACAGGUGGUCAGGUAGAGAAUACCAAGGCGCUUGAGAGAACUCGGGUGAAGGAACUAGGCAAAAUGGUGCCGUAACUUCGGGAGAAGGCACGCUGAUAUGUAGGUGAAGUCCCUCGCGGAUGGAGCUGAAAUCAGUCGAAGAUACCAGCUGGCUGCAACUGUUUAUUAAAAACACAGCACUGUGCAAACACGAAAGUGGACGUAUACGGUGUGACGCCUGCCCGG
RNAcentral lists this ribosomal RNA (1172 nucleotides) under Escherichia coli. Its description in RNAcentral is "partial 23S ribosomal RNA". It matches the Rfam family "Bacterial large subunit ribosomal RNA", at positions 711 to 1866 of the family's 2925-position model. Lineage: Bacteria; Pseudomonadati; Pseudomonadota; Gammaproteobacteria; Enterobacterales; Enterobacteriaceae. The record is from RNAcentral.